RNAcentral lists this long non-coding RNA (732 nucleotides) under Eutrema salsugineum. RNAcentral describes it as "long non-coding RNA (ESAL_LNC002089)". Lineage: Eukaryota; Viridiplantae; Streptophyta; Magnoliopsida; Brassicales; Brassicaceae. The record is from RNAcentral.
UCUGUGGCUCCUCUGCGUCAGGGAAUAUUUCCUACCUAUGAGUAGGUUUCUUUUGCUUUGCUCUCUUUCUUAGUGUAGCCAACAUGUUCUGUAAUCUGUACUAUGUUACAGUGUCUUUUUGGUUUAUCGUCAGAAGAGAACUAAAAUUGCCUGAGUCAUAUGAUUCGUUCGACCGAUGCCUUCUACAUUCCCAAUGGCAUCGCUUUGUUGGAUAGACUUUUGCAAGUUCGGCGGCAGGUUUUCACUAUGAAUCUUUGCCUUAUGAGGCUAUCUUUGGUUUGAUAUCUCAUCUUCUGUUUAAGGUUGGUGAAAGUUAUUCAUAUGCUAAGGCAUAUGCUUAUAGGUACCAGUUUCAAUUUUCAAAAGGUAAUUUUAAGUACAUCAAAGAUUCAGUAGUAAGUUAGAAUGUUUAAGGUUGCAGGAGGUGCUUGUGAAAUUGGACCCACUUCUGGAAUAUGUAAGAGACUGUCUUCUACACUCGUGGAGCAAACUGGGCGAGAGAGAUUUUUUUUUUUUUAAAUAGCUAUAAAUCUAUAAUUGAAGCUUGAAGGAAAGGUGUGUAUGAUUAGUACUCCAAGAUUGUUUCUUUCUUCAAUAUCUUUUUCACUUUCUAAAUAUUCCUCUACUCUUUAUUUUUUUUUUGAAAUUUAGAAGCUCACUAUGAAUGUGAUUGAUUGAUAGUGACAUCAAAAACUUGCUAAAUUAUCGCUGACAGAAUUUGUUAUGUGUCAG